GUCCACGCCGUAAACUAUGGAUGCUAGCCGUCGGCAAGCUUGCUUGUCGGUGGCGCAGCUAACGCUUUAAGCAUCCCGCCUGGGGAGUACGGCCGCAAGGUUAAAACUCAAAGGAAUUGACGGGGGCCCGCACAAGCGGUGGAGCAUGUGGUUUAAUUCGACGCAACGCGAAGAACCUUACCAGCUCUUGACAUGGCCGGACGGUUUCCAGAGAUGGGGAUCCUCCUAGCAAUAGGCCGGUACACAGGUGCUGCAUGGCUGUCGU
RNAcentral lists this ribosomal RNA (265 nucleotides) under uncultured bacterium. Its description in RNAcentral is "partial 16S ribosomal RNA". It matches the Rfam family "Bacterial small subunit ribosomal RNA", at positions 793 to 1055 of the family's 1533-position model. The record is from RNAcentral.